RNAcentral lists this transfer RNA (67 nucleotides) under Exema canadensis. RNAcentral describes it as "tRNA-Asn". Lineage: Eukaryota; Metazoa; Arthropoda; Insecta; Coleoptera; Chrysomelidae. The record is from RNAcentral.
UUAAUUGAAACCAAAAUUAGAGGUAUGUUACUGUUAAUAACAUUAUUGGAUAUAAAACCCAAUUAAA